AUUGCUUCCUGACCUUUUGGUGAAGAUAAAGUGUAGUAUCUGUUGGUACCAAUGUAAUAUCUGAUACAUCUUCUAUCUGAGAACAAUAUUUUAAAGGUAUUUUGGGAGCAGGGAGACAGAAUAAGAGUAGGCAUCGUCUGCUUCAUGUAUCAGCCUGGCACUACAGUAACUUUGGGAAUUAUGCACCUUCU
RNAcentral lists this small nuclear RNA (191 nucleotides) under Castor canadensis (American beaver). RNAcentral describes it as "U2 spliceosomal RNA (ENSCCNG00000020753.1)". It matches the Rfam family "U2 spliceosomal RNA". From Rfam's summary of the family: U2 is a small nuclear RNA (snRNA) component of the spliceosome (involved in pre-mRNA splicing). Complementary binding between U2 snRNA (in an area lying towards the 5' end but 3' to hairpin I) and the branchpoint sequence (BPS) of the intron results the bulging out of an unpaired adenosine, on the BPS, which initiates a nucleophilic attack at the intronic 5' splice site, thus starting the first of two transesterification reactions that mediate splicing. The record is from Rfam by way of RNAcentral. Lineage: Eukaryota; Metazoa; Chordata; Mammalia; Rodentia; Castoridae.